UUCGCUUUAUGACGUGCUCGUUUGGGUUGGGCGUCAGCUAAGAGUGCUCGGAGCGUGGAUUAACUCCAGUCGCCAAUCAGGUGUGUAUUUUUUCGCUACUCUAGUGUAGGAUGGCUACUUUGGGCCGAAAGGGGCCAUUGGGCCCAAUGGGCCUACGGGCCUAAUUGAAUAAGUUGUUUGAUUGUGUAUUAAAUAUUGGACUAGGCUAGGUGAAUCUCAUAUCUGUGGCUAGAUUUGGGCUAAAAGGGCCACACGAGCGUGCGGGCCCAUUUGGGCCAAGAAUGGGCUUUAGGCCCAUUCAUAUUGUUAUCCCUAUUUAGAAUACUUUAGUUUACCAAAUUACUGAAAUGCCCUCAAUUUGUAAAAUUACCAAAGUACCCUCGAUUUACAGAAUUACCAUUUUACCCUCGAUUUACAGAGUUACCAUUUUACCCUCGAUUUAUAGAAUUACCAUUUUACCCUCGAUUUAUAGAAUUACCGUUUUACUCUCAAUUUACAGAAUUACCAUUUUACCCUCAAUUCACAAAAUUACCGUUUUACCCUCGAUUUAUAGAAUUAUCGUUUUACCCUUAAUUUACAAAAUUACCGUUUUACCUUUAAUUUACAGAAUUACCGUUUUACCCUCGAUUUAAAGAAUUACCGUUUUACCCUCAAUUUACAAAAUUACUGAAAUACCCUUAGUUUAUAAAAUUACCAAAAUACCCUCGAUCAGUAAAAUUACCAAAAUACCCAUGGUUUGUAAAAUUACUAAAAUAUCCCUCGUUUGUAAAAUUACCAAAAUACCCCUGGCUUGUAAAAUUACUAAAAUACCCCUGAUUUGUGAAAUUAUCGAAAUACUCUGGAUUUGCAAAAUAUCAAAAUACCCCUGUAGGGUAGAAUUACCGAAAUACCCCUAUAGGGUAGAAUUACCGAAAUACCCUUGUAAGGUAGAAAUACCGAAAUACCCCUGUAGGGUAGAAUUACCGAGAUACCCUUGUGGGGUAAAAUUACCAUUUUUCCCCUAGGGUGUUAAAUGACUGUUUUGCCCUUGUGGACAAGUGACUGACUUGGACUGUGUGGUUGACGGAUUUGAUUGUGAAUAUAUGUUGGUGAUAUGAAUGACUUGACUGUGAUUGUUUGAUUCAAAUAUGAGCAUGACAUUCUGCAUACAUGACAUGUUGCAUGGGUUGGGUUUUAUAAAAAUAGAGGAAGUGCUAAAAGGGCUUUGCCCCAGUUUACCGAAAAAGGCUUUGCCCCAAUUUAUCAAAAAGGGCUUUGCCCCAGUUAUUAAAAGAGGCUAGGCCUCCAGUUAUAUGAUAAAGCAGCUAUGCUGCCAGUGGAGAGUUUGGUUGGGUAGGUUGAGUUAUUCCCCACAUGGAGAACUUGGUUGGUACAGGUGGAGAGUAGCGGAUGGUGGGUUGAGUAGUCUCCCCAAAUGGGCUUGCAUACAUUCAUUGGUAUUUCAUGUGAUUUUGAAAUGGGCCUAUGGGCCAUACCGUUUACAGUAAAGGCUUCAGCCCAGUGAUUUGAUUUAUGAAAAGGCUCUGGCCUAGUAACUGUUAAACGAAAGGCUUUGGCCCAGUAAAUGUCGAGACUAAAUAGGGCUUUGGCCCAGAUUGUACUGAUACCGUGUUAUUCACUGUUUGUUUGUUAUUGGAAUUACACACUGAGUUUUCGUAAACUCACCCCGUUUCUAACUGUGCAGGUAAUCCCUAAGCUUAGAUGGUUUGGAGCUGCGAGGGACUCUGAAAUGGCCACACUAUUGUUUCUAUUUCUUUUAAUUGCAAUUAGAUUUCAUUUUGGGUUUUUAAAUAAUGUAAUAAGGCCGUAGGUGGGUUUUAAGUUUUAAUUUGGAUUGUGAUUUCUUAUACUAAACUGCUAGUCUAGGAAAAUCGAGAUUUCAAAAUGGCAUGAUUUUUCUAAGGAACACGAGCUUCCAACAACAAAGUUUUCAAAAUGCUUCCGUAAUUUUAAAUGAGAUAAUAUACCA
RNAcentral lists this long non-coding RNA (1969 nucleotides) under Gossypium barbadense (sea-island cotton). RNAcentral describes it as "long non-coding RNA (GBAR_LNC009439)". The record is from RNAcentral. Lineage: Eukaryota; Viridiplantae; Streptophyta; Magnoliopsida; Malvales; Malvaceae.